AUUGAACGCUGGCGGCAUGCUUUACACAUGCAAGUCGGACGGCAGCACAGAGAAGCUUGCUUCUUGGGUGGCGAGUGGCGAACGGGUGAGUAAUAUAUCGGAACGUACCGAGUAAUGGGGGAUAACUAAUCGAAAGAUUAGCUAAUACCGCAUAUUCUCUGAGGAGGAAAGCAGGGGACCUUCGGGCCUUGCGUUAUUCGAGCGGCCGAUAUCUGAUUAGCUAGUUGGUGGGGUAAAGGCCUACCAAGGCGACGAUCAGUAGCGGGUCUGAGAGGAUGAUCCGCCACACUGGGACUGAGACACGGCCCAGACUCCUACGGGAGGCAGCAGUGGGGAAUUUUGGACAAUGGGCGCAAGCCUGAUCCAGCCAUGCCGCGUGUCUGAAGAAGGCCUUCGGGUUGUAAAGGACUUUUGUCAGGGAAGAAAAGGCUGUUGCUAAUAUCGACAGCUGAUGACGGUACCUGAAGAAUAAGCACCGGCUAACUACGU
RNAcentral lists this ribosomal RNA (489 nucleotides) under uncultured bacterium. RNAcentral describes it as "partial 16S ribosomal RNA". It matches the Rfam family "Bacterial small subunit ribosomal RNA", at positions 30 to 506 of the family's 1533-position model. The record is from RNAcentral.